This 324-nucleotide ribosomal RNA is filed under the name uncultured eukaryote. RNAcentral describes it as "partial 18S ribosomal RNA". It matches the Rfam family "Eukaryotic small subunit ribosomal RNA", at positions 1470 to 1796 of the family's 1831-position model. The record is from RNAcentral.
CCCUUAGAUGCUCUGGGCCACACGCGCGCUACACUGGUCGAUGCAACGAGUUUCUUUCCUUGGCCGACAGGCCUGGGCAAUCUUUGAACAUCGAUCGUGAUCGGGAUAGAUUCUUGUAAUUUUUGAUCUUAAACGAGGAAUUCCUAGUAAACGCAAGUCAUCAGCUUGCAUUGAUUACGUCCCUGCCCUUUGUACACACCGCCCGUCGCACCUACCGAUUGAAUGGUCCGGUGAAAUCUCCGGACUGGCGUGAGUCGGAGCAAUCUGACAAACACCGGAAAGUUGAUUAAACCUUACCAUUUAGAGGAAGGUGAAGUCGUAACA